GAUGAACGCUGGCGGCGUGCCUAAUACAUGCAAGUCGAGCGAACGGACGAGAAGCUUGCUUUUCUGAUGUUAGCGGCGGACGGGUGAGUAACACGUGGAUAACCUACCUAUAAGACUGGGAUAACUUCGGGAAACCGGAGCUAAUACCGGAUAAUAUUUUGAACCGCAUGGUUCAAAAGUGAAAGACGGUCUUGCUGUCACUUAUAGAUGGAUCCGCGCUGCAUUAGCUAGUUGGUAAGGUAACGGCUUACCAAGGCAACGAUGCAUAGCCGACCUGAGAGGGUGAUCGGCCACACUGGAACUGAGACACGGUCCAGACUCCUACGGGAGGCAGCAGUAGGGAAUCUUCCGCAAUGGGCGAAAGCCUGACGGAGCAACGCCGCGUGAGUGAUGAAGGUCUUCGGAUCGUAAAACUCUGUUAUUAGGGAAGAACAUAUGUGUAAGUAACUGUGCACAUCUUGACGGUACCUAAUCAGAAAGCCACGGUUAACUACGUGCCAGCAGCCGCGGUAAUACGUAGGUGGCAAGCGUUAUCCGGAAUUAUUGGGCGUAAAGCGCGCGUAGGCGGUUUUUUAAGUCUGAUGUGAAAGCCCACGGCUCAACCGUGGAGGGUCAUUGGAAACUGGAAAACUUGAGUGCAGAAGAGGAAAGUGGAAUUCCAUGUGUAGCGGUGAAAUGCGCAGAGAUGUGGAGGAACACCAGUGGCGAAGGCGACUUUCUGGUCUGUAACUGACGCUGAUGUGCGAAAGCGUGGGGAUCAAACAGGAUUAGAUACCCUGGUAGUCCACGCCGUAAACGAUGAGUGCUAAGUGUUAGGGGGUUUCCGCCCCUUAGUGCUGCAGCUAACGCAUUAAGCACUCCGCCUGGGGAGUACGACCGCAAGGUUGAAACUCAAAGGAAUUGACGGGGGCCCGCACAAGCGGUGGAGCAUGUGGUUUAAUUCGAAGCAACGCGAAGAACCUUACCAAAUCUUGACAUCCUUUGACAACUCUAGAGAUAGAGCCUUCCCCUUCGGGGGACAAAGUGACAGGUGGUGCAUGGUUGUCGUCAGCUCGUGUCGUGAGAUGUUGGGUUAAGUCCCGCAACGAGCGCAACCCUUAAGCUUAGUUGCCAUCAUUAAGUUGGGCACUCUAAGUUGACUGCCGGUGACAAACCGGAGGAAGGUGGGGAUGACGUCAAAUCAUCAUGCCCCUUAUGAUUUGGGCUACACACGUGCUACAAUGGACAAUACAAAGGGCAGCGAAACCGCGAGGUCAAGCAAAUCCCAUAAAGUUGUUCUCAGUUCGGAUUGUAGUCUGCAACUCGACUACAUGAAGCUGGAAUCGCUAGUAAUCGUAGAUCAGCAUGCUACGGUGAAUACGUUCCCGGGUCU
RNAcentral lists this ribosomal RNA (1372 nucleotides) under uncultured bacterium. Its description in RNAcentral is "bacterial SSU rRNA". It matches the Rfam family "Bacterial small subunit ribosomal RNA", at positions 28 to 1381 of the family's 1533-position model. The record is from RNAcentral.